ACCGCCUCGCUGUCCUCGCCGGCGAGGGGAUAAGGGCGACAACGAGGCCGACCCCUCGGGCUCCCAUGCCACUCCAAUCGUCCCACUCCCUCUGGACGCUCUCUCUCCCUGGUUACCCCCUCUCUCUCGCGCGCGAUAUCCCACUCCCAUCGAGCGCCAUCACCGCCGUACUUCCGUCGAUCCCGCGGCCACCGGCGGCCCCGAGGCCACCGGCCUUGUCCGUCUGCUCCGCCGUCAUCAUCCACGUCGCCUGGGGUCCUCCGUUGGAGCCGAGGGCCCCUUCAGCUGCCGAUCGCAGUCGUCCCCUUUCGCCUCUGUCUCCGACGCUCGCCGGCGACCUCGAGCACCCAUGCUGCUACUAAUCCAAUCGCCGACCUCCUUGCGCCGCUCGAUGGUGGAGCCCAGGAUCCAAACGACCCCACCGACGACUACUACUACCCCGAGGGUGCCUACUACUAUGUGGAGACCACUGACGACCAGGAGUAGUUAGGAGGAUCCCAGGCAGGAGGCCUUGCCUUUUCGAUCGAUAUUGCUUUUGUGCCAGCCUUCUUAAGGCAAACUUGUCUAACUUAUGUCUGUACCUAGAUAUUAUUGCUUCCACUGACUCUUGUGUUUUCAAGCUUUUGUAUUCGAGCCCUCGAGGCCCCUGGCUUGUAAUGUAAAGCCUGUAUUAUUUUUAUU
Molecule: long non-coding RNA, 681 nt
Organism: Triticum urartu
Lineage: Eukaryota; Viridiplantae; Streptophyta; Magnoliopsida; Poales; Poaceae
Source: RefSeq, a predicted model, not a curated record